CCUACGGGAGGCUGCAGUGGGGAAUAUUGCGCAAUGGGCGAAAGCCUGACGCAGCGACGCCGCGUGAGGGAUGAAGGUCUUCGGAUCGUAAACCUCUGUCAGCAGGGAAGAACGGUCACUGUGCUAAUCAGCAGUGAAUUGACGGUACCUGCAAAGGAAGCACCGGCUAACUACGUGCCAGCAGCCGCGGUAAUACGUAGGGAGCGAGCGUUGUCCGGAAUUACUGGGUGUAAAGGGAGCGUAGGCGGGACUGCAAGUUGGGUGUCAAAUCUACCGGCUCAACCGGUAGCCGCACUCAAAACUGGAGUUCUUGAGUGAAGGAGAGGCAGGCGGAAUGCCUAGUGUAGCGGUGAAAUGCGUAGAUAUUAGGAGGAACACCAGUGGCGAAGGCGGCCUGCUGGGCUUGUACUGACGCUGAGGCUCGAAAGUGUGGGGAGCAAACAGGAUUAGAUACCCCUGUAGUC
RNAcentral lists this ribosomal RNA (464 nucleotides) under uncultured bacterium. Its description in RNAcentral is "partial 16S ribosomal RNA". It matches the Rfam family "Bacterial small subunit ribosomal RNA", at positions 338 to 795 of the family's 1533-position model. The record is from RNAcentral.